RNAcentral lists this ribosomal RNA (254 nucleotides) under uncultured bacterium. RNAcentral describes it as "partial 16S ribosomal RNA". It matches the Rfam family "Bacterial small subunit ribosomal RNA", at positions 524 to 776 of the family's 1533-position model. The record is from RNAcentral.
UACGGGGGGGGCAAGCGUUGUUCGGAAUUACUGGGCGUAAAGGGCGCGUAGGCGGCCUUCUAAGUCAGACGUGAAAUCCCCAGGCUUAACUUGGGAACUGCGUCUGAUACUGGAUGGCUUGAGUUUGGGAGAGGGAUGCGGAAUUCCAGGUGUAGCGGUGAAAUGCGUAGAUAUCUGGAGGAACACCGGUGGCGAAGGCGGCAUCCUGGACCAACACUGACGCUGAGUGAGCGAAAGCCAGGGGAGCAAACGGG